Molecule: long non-coding RNA, 3951 nt
Organism: Papio anubis (olive baboon)
Lineage: Eukaryota; Metazoa; Chordata; Mammalia; Primates; Cercopithecidae
Source: Ensembl
AUGCAGGACAACAGAUUAUUCAGCCUUAAAAAGGAAGGCAAUUCGGACGCACGUCACAACACGGAAGAGGCUUGGAGUUAUUACGCCGGGCGGGGGAGCCAGCCACAGGACAAGCACUGUGCGAUCCCACUGCAUACCCCCCGAACAGUAAACCCACGGAGACAGGAAGUAGAAGGGUGGGUGUCAGGGUGGGUGUCAGGGCUGGCAGAGGGGAAUGGGGAGUUAGUGUUGAAGGAGGACAGGGCUUACUUUCGCGACAAGAAAGCCCUAGAGAGCCGGUGCAGAACGAUGCGAGUAGACCCAACUGUAGAGCUAAAAAUGAUUCAGAUGAGCCCUCCUGCAGCCCCCGAUGGCCUCGGGAUCAAGUUCAAACCCUCAGCAUGGCCCAGGGCCUCUCCGUCCCUCCCUCUGCAGGCCCAGCUCCUGGAUGCUCCCUCCUCUCGCCCAUCCCGGAGACCGGCACUAUUCUGCCCUCUGCGCAGAGUAGCCACCCCUGCCUGCAUCAGCUCAUCAUCCUCAGAAGCAUCUCUAGCCUUAGGAAGAGAACAUCCCCAGCCUGUCGCCUCCGCAGGGCUGAAUAAGCUCAUAAUGUCCUUUGCCCGCCUCUGUCACGGGGCUAGUUUGCCCUCAAUAAUGAGGCCUGAGAGGGAGGACCCCGUCUGUUCAUUUAAGCAUUGGACACUUGGAGGCUGAAGCAGCCAGGAGUGGGUUUUUGUGUCAUCCCACUUCAGCCCACAUGCACCUACGUCCACCGACUCAAGCUACUGACUGGACAGAAUGCAGGAAGCAGGGAAGAGGCCAGAAGAGGGUGCGCGGAUGGAGCUCCUGCAGACGCCACGUUCCCUGGGAGCAGUCCCCUUGGGACAGGCCCAUGGGAGCCCCAAAGCAGAUCCUGCUCCCAUCCCAGUUCAGCACUGGGAAGCCUGGUGCUCCGCAAGGCCCUGGGAUGUUCAGCCUCUGCCUGGCCUCACCAGCAUCACCCCAGGCACCAAACACAUUCUCCCGAUUCCCACAUGCCGCAUCCCACGUCCUCAGGAUAAGUUCGAGGCAGCAAGAAGUGGGGCCCGGCUUGCUGCCCUGGCCCCGCUGCCCUCUGUGCACCCCAGGGCAUUUUCCCCAUCGACACAGUCUCCUGAAUCUCGCAUUCUAGGAGACUAUCUUAGCCUGUGCAGCAGGCUGCUAUUGCAAAAUACCAUUGACUGUGCAGCUUAUAAACCACACGUUUAUUUCUCAUGGUUCUGGAGACUGAAGCCUCAACACAGGGUGCCGACCUGCUCAGGCUCUGGUGAGGGCCUCCUCCAGGCUGGCGGACAGAGGACUUCCCGCUUGUCCUCAAGUGGCAGUAGCACGAUGGAGCUCUCCCAGCCUCUUUCAUAAGAGCACUAAUCCCAUUCCUGAGGGCUCCACCCUCUUGACCCAGUCACUUCCCAGAGGCCCCACCUCCUAGCACCAUCACGAGGGUUUCAACAUCAAAACUCUGGGAGGACACAAACAUUCGGUCCAUAACAGGUAUCAGGAUCCCAUUAGCAAUCCUGUCCGGCUCCAUGAGAGGCUAGCUGAAACGUCCGAGUGGGCAGGUGGAUCAAGUUGUGGGCUCUGUCUGCCCAAGGAGCUGCCUCAGGGCUCCACCCUGCCCCUGCCCCUGCCCCAGCCCAGAGGAAGGGUGGGGCCCAGACACCUAAGGAACCAUAGUAUGUGUGAAGAGGAGUCCCCACUCUUGUACCCGAGUGGGGCAGAAGAGAAAAAUGCACCUCCAAGGCCGGGCGCGGUGGCUCAAGCCUGUAAUCCCAGCACUUUGGGAGGCCGAGACGGGCGGAUCACGAGGUCAGGAGAUCGAGACCAUCCUGGCUAACAAGGUGAAACCCCAUCUCAACUAAAAAAUACAAAAAAUAACUAGCCGGGCGAGGUGGCGGGCGCCUGUAGUCCCAGCUACUCGGGAGGCUGAGGCAGGAGAAUGGCGUAAACCCGGGAGGCGGAGCUUGCAGUGAGCUGAGAUCCGGCCAUUGCAUCCCAGCCUGGGCGACAGAGCGAGACUCCCUCUCAAAAAAAAAAAAAAAAAGAAAAAGAAAAAUGCACCUCCACUAAUCCAAGUGUGACCCAAGUAUCCAAGACCUCACCAGUGUGGAGGAGAAAUACAAUGCCACAGCUCCAUCCAGAGCUCCCUGGCUCCUCAGCCCCCACCUCCUAGCCAAGGAUCUUGCCUCAGUUUCCUCCCCUGUAAUUGCUGGGACUCCCCAGGGGUGCCUUACUUUUGUGCAAAACCACAUUUCUGACAUCCUUCAAAUGCCCACUGUGCACAGAAAGGCUCAGCACUCCCACAGCACUCAUUACACUGGUAAACCCAGGCAGCGUUCCUUCCAAAUGCAGGAGGAGAUGCUGGUGGUGGCCGUAGUGGCCCGUCUGUGACUCCAGUGCACAGCACAGCUGAAAGCUCAGUGUCCGUCCUCUCCCUCCCUGCCCUCUCCUUUACUAGCAAUGACAUUUAGGGGACUGACCAGUUCUAGGCCUGAGUCUACUCUCAGCCAGUGUGGAGGUGCCUUCUUUGUCAUCAACGAUUAGUUGGAGAGUCCAGAUUUAGACCCCUGUGCACACGGCAUUCUCCUGGAAGCAAAUCCUGUCUGCCACAAGGAAACCAGGGCCAUUCUCCCAGGGAGAGGGAGCUGGCUGCAGGGAGGCUGAGGCUGUGGACAGAGUGGGGGACAGGCAGGCCCAGGUCCUCAAGAGGAGAUGAAGGGGGUCAGGCGCUUGAUGAGCCCACUUCGAAACGCACCCCAUUUCUGAACUCCCAGCUUCACACGCUCCAAAUUGCUAAUCGUCCAAGCCAGCUGAGUGCUUCCUAAAGGGCACUGAGGAUGCAGGGGCCCUGGACCUACCGGGACACACCUGCGGCCCAGCCUCUCGAGGGCCCAGCCUGCGCGAACCCUUCUCCCCACCCACUCACCCACUGCCCAUGUGGCUAUGCAGCGGGGAGCACCUCCAGACUCCCGAGGAGCCAGGUCUCCAGGAAAGAGGGGAACUGGGAGAAGAAAGAGACAGGUUGUUUCAAAGCUUUCCCGCCCAACGCACCUCUUCUUUUCUGUUUCGCCUGUACGCAAACUAUGGCAAAAUCAGAGUUCGGUAACUCUCUGUCUUCGGGUGGCAUAUCUGCCUUCAGGAGAUUUAAAUGCUGAGUCACUGUCAUGAAGUUCUUGACUCGAUUAUACGGAAUCAACUUGUAUGAGGCAUCUGGAAAUCUCUUUUGAGAGGUCAGAAGCAGAAAAAUAAAACAGCAUUCUCUGUUUCCCAUGAUUCAUAAAACCAUUAGCAAUUCUCUGUAAAUUACUCAGAAAACAAAGAUGAGCAGUGGGUUUCUCAGCCACCCAGAGAGGGGCUGAGGGGCUCAGGACCCCUCCCCAGGCCCAGCUCCAAUCUGGGGUAAGGCUCCCAGACAGGGGCCCUUCUUCUCCGUCUCCUCAGCGGUCCCCUGGCCUCAGGGCCACGUUGACUGCCCCAUGCUGGGGCUCUCCCACAGGCUGGCCCAGGUACCAUUCACCUGCUCACCCUCAGAGCUCAGCAGCGUGUGCUGCCUGAUGACAUCAACGUCUCUGUCCCAUGGGGCCUCACAGAGCUCCCCAAGAACUCCGUGUUUCCAGAUGAAGGGAUCGGAGACCCAGAGAAGUGACUGGCAGUCCAGGGCCCCACAUGUCCUCAGCUCAGGCCUGGACACCCGGUGCUGCCUGGGCUCUGUGUCCAUCCAUAAGCAUGUCCCGGCUCCUCUUACCUGCCAGGGGGCCAUCUUUGUGGGGGAUCCUCUGGACAGGACAGUCGGGAAGGGUCCUGCCUUCAGGCAGCUUCUCACGUAGUGGGAAGACAGACCAGAAAAGAAAAGAAACACAGAGUGAGGCCUCAGAACUGCGGACAUAGUGAGAAUGUGCGUCAGGCAGCUUCUCACGUAGUGGGAAGAUGGACCAG